AAGCGAAGGUCCCAGCAGAGGGGAAAGAACUCCAUUGAGGCCUCUCUAACACUAAAAUUUACCUUCGCAAAUUGAAGGCCGAAUCGUAGGAUUCCUAAGCUUUUCUAUGCUUUUGAUUCUUAUAAUCGCCCACAUUUUG
Daucus carota subsp. sativus is the source of this 139-nucleotide non-coding RNA. NCBI's taxonomy places the organism in Eukaryota, Viridiplantae, Streptophyta, Magnoliopsida, Apiales, Apiaceae. The record is from Rfam.